CCUACGGGAGGCAGCAGUGGGGAAUAUUGGACAAUGGGCGCAAGCCUGAUCCAGCAAUGCCGCGUGAGUGAUGAAGGCCUUCGGGUCGUAAAGCUCUUUUACCCGGGAUGAUAAUGACAGUACCGGGAGAAUAAGCUCCGGCUAACUCCGUGCCAGCAGCCGCGGUAAUACGGAGGGAGCUAGCGUUGUUCGGAAUUACUGGGCGUAAAGCGCACGUAGGCGGUUAUUCAAGUCAGAGGUGAAAGCCCGGGGCUCAACCCCGGAACUGCCUUUGAAACUAGAUGACUAGAAUCUUGGAGAGGUCAGUGGAAUUCCGAGUGUAGAGGUGAAAUUCGUAGAUAUUCGGAAGAACACCAGUGGCGAAGGCGACUGACUGGACAAGUAUUGACGCCGAGGUGCGAAAGCGUGGGGAGCAAACAGGAUUAGAUACCCUGGUAGUCCACGCCGUAAACGAUGAUAACUAGCUGUCCGGGUACUUGGUAUUUGGGUGGCGCAGCUAACGCAUUAAGUUAUCCGCCUGGGGAGUACGGUCGCAAGAUUAAAACUUAAAGGAAUUGACGGNUGAGAGNGCGAGACGACACGAGGAGAG
RNAcentral lists this ribosomal RNA (589 nucleotides) under uncultured bacterium. RNAcentral describes it as "bacterial SSU rRNA". It matches the Rfam family "Bacterial small subunit ribosomal RNA", at positions 338 to 948 of the family's 1533-position model. The record is from RNAcentral.